This is an RNA transcript of Eurytemora carolleeae, 833 nucleotides long. RefSeq lists it as uncharacterized. Lineage: Eukaryota; Metazoa; Arthropoda; Copepoda; Calanoida; Temoridae. The record is from RefSeq and is a predicted model, not a curated record. The transcript has 8 exons.
UUAUCUUUAUCGAACAGUGUCUGAUUUUGUUUCAAGUAUUAAACAUUUAUAUUUGAAUAAACAUGAAAAUUGUUCAAGUUUUUCUUCUUUUCCUUGUCGCCAGGUUGGGAGAAUCUGCGACUUUUUGUGAGUUUACCCUGAAUACUCUUGUAAUGAACUUGUCCGGGGACUCUAGUCUAGAUAUUCAGGCUGCAGCUUUGAUAGAAAAUGUCUGCACACAGCUAACGAAUGAGGAAGAUGUAAAAUCUUGCGAAAGAAGCAGUAGAUCCUACUGGCCCUACCUGGCUCCGUAUAUAUAUGAGGGGUUUAUAUCAGGACAGGCCGAGGAUAUCUGUGCUGUUGAACAUGAUUGUCAAAGUAUGUCUUGUGAAGAAUGCCUACUAAGAAUGAAUGAUGUCUCAACCGAACUAAAUUCUGAAGAGUCUAUUAUAGAAAUAAUAAACCUUGUUCAGGGUGAGCUUUACUGUAACAUGGAGAAUGCUUGGUGGGAUAUAGAAAACUGUCAAUCCGAGGUCUCAUGGUUUAUACCAAGAGCACUGCCUGUAAUUGGAUCAAUCAUAACAGAAGAUGUUCAGUCCCGUGAAUUCUGCUCUGCUACAGUUGGGGGUAUCUGCUGAUAUCCCCCCUCUUUGAUUUUUGGGGUUACCCAUUAAAUACCCCCCUUCCUUUUACUCAACUCUUCGGAAGGACGAGAAUUUCGAGGUGGCUCGGACGAGAAUUUUUUUGGCUGGCCUUCCUCGCCACGCUGAAUGCAUUGACAUAUACAUAUAUAAACUUUUCUUGUCUGUGUGUUUGUCUGUUUGUUUAUUUGUAUCCAAUAAACGUUAAAACGA